AGACGUAUGAAAUAUUAAUCAGUUGUGUGUCACUUCUUUCAAAGUCAAGCCGAUGUCAUCCGGUCUACGAAAGGACGCCUAACAAUCUUCAAUUUUUCAACGGGAAAAACUGAUACAUAGAUUUAAAUGGUGGGCACACGGCGAAGGCAGCGGGUGUCUCAAGUUUCUGAAAGUCGGGCAGCCCUUGACAUUGACCGACGUAAAGCGUCGUUAAAGACAUUCCAUCGCGAUCGAUCCGCAACGUAUAUUAAUUUCAUUACAUUUCACAGAAGCGAAAUGUCUACGUCCUGUUUUUGUUUCUAGCAAAUUAAGCAGCGAUUUCGUCAUCGUGAUACGCGGUCUUUUCUUCCACUUCGAUCUCUCGAGCAAGAUGCCGAAUUUUCAGGAUAAGAAUCUUAAGAGAGCGAAAUAGCCGCAUCAAUAAUUUUUCCCCUUAAUUACCUGUAUAACAUCGAUCAUGUUUCUCAAAAUAUUUUAAUAUUAUUACAAAUCGAAGCAACAGUUUUUCAUAACACAGAAGAGGUACUAGACUUAGACCGGCGCGAAUGCAAAGUUCUAUCACCAACGCUAACAUGUACAUAAAGGACAUCGAUUGCACGCUUAUCUAUUCCAUCUACGAAUGAACGCAAACAUUAUUACAUUAUUACAGACUGGUAUCGUGGUUUAGAAAAACAGAUAAAGCUAUAUAAAGCGUCCACUGUCGGUUAUAUAUAAUUAAUAAUCAGAUAAGCGUGCGAUAUCAGGUCCUGACGUAGCAAAUGAUAUGUUAAAGAUCUGUAACGACAUGCAAUAAAUAAAAAUGCAUCGUGCAUACAUGCGAGCAAUAUACAUAUUUAUAUGACAUUAUUUGCCUUUUUGUACACUAAUGUUUAACGAUCGAAGCAAGAUGUAAUAAAAUUUCUUGAAAAAAUCAUCGAACGAUUACACGUGAUUGAAUCGUCAUUAUCAUAUCAUGCGUAUUCAUACCACCGCGAUUUCAGAAAUCUAUAAUAAUAACAUUAUGUUAUAUAAAUUACAUGAAAUUUAAGUAUCCUAAUUCCGCAAAAUUCUUAGCCGUAAAUCUUAUUGCAUUUUUUUCCAAAAAAAA
Pogonomyrmex barbatus (red harvester ant) is the source of this 1087-nucleotide long non-coding RNA. The record is from RefSeq and is a predicted model, not a curated record. Lineage: Eukaryota; Metazoa; Arthropoda; Insecta; Hymenoptera; Formicidae.